RNAcentral lists this ribosomal RNA (414 nucleotides) under uncultured bacterium. RNAcentral's name for it is "bacterial SSU rRNA". It matches the Rfam family "Bacterial small subunit ribosomal RNA", at positions 505 to 916 of the family's 1533-position model. The record is from RNAcentral.
GUGUCAGCAGCCGCGGUAAGACGUAGGGAGCGAGCGUUGUCCGGAUUCAUUGGGCGUAAAGCGCGCGUAGGCGGCCUCGCAAGUCGGUUGUGAAAUCCCGGGGCUCAACCCCGGGACUGCGUCCGAUACUGCGAGGCUGGAGGUAGGUAGGGGAGAUCGGAAUUCCUGGUGUAGCGGUGAAAUGCGCAGAUAUCAGGAGGAACACCGGUGGCGAAGGCGGAUCUCUGGGCCUUACCUGACGCUGAGGCGCGAAAGCUAGGGGAGCGAACAGGAUUAGAUACCCUGGUAGUCCUAGCCGUAAACGUUGGGUGCUAGGUGUGGGCGGAUAUCGACCCCGUCCGUGCCGAAGCUAACGCAUUAAGCACCCCGCCUGGGGAGUACGGCCGCAAGGCUAAAACUCAAAUGAAUUGACGG